This 70-nucleotide transfer RNA is filed under the name Zonotrichia leucophrys (white-crowned sparrow). RNAcentral's name for it is "tRNA-Arg". Lineage: Eukaryota; Metazoa; Chordata; Aves; Passeriformes; Passerellidae. The record is from RNAcentral. RNAcentral also lists the same sequence under 1 other name.
AGAAAGUUAGUCUAACCAAGACAGUUGAUUUCGACUCAACAAAUUAUAGCCAUAAAUCUAUAACUUUCUU